RNAcentral lists this transfer RNA (74 nucleotides) under Gigantopelta aegis. RNAcentral describes it as "tRNA-Ile". It matches the Rfam family "tRNA". Rfam says of the family: Transfer RNA (tRNA) molecules are approximately 80 nucleotides in length. Lineage: Eukaryota; Metazoa; Mollusca; Gastropoda; Neomphalida; Peltospiridae. The record is from RNAcentral.
GGCCUGCUAGCUCUGUUGGUUAGAGCGUCGUGCUAAUAACGCGAAUGUCGUGGGUUCGACCCCCACAUGGACCA